This 497-nucleotide ribosomal RNA is filed under the name uncultured bacterium. RNAcentral describes it as "partial 16S ribosomal RNA". It matches the Rfam family "Bacterial small subunit ribosomal RNA", at positions 28 to 507 of the family's 1533-position model. The record is from RNAcentral.
GACGAACGCUGGCGGCGUGCCUAAUACAUGCAAGUUGAGCGCUGAAGGUUGGUACUUGUCCCAACUGGAUGAGCAGCGAACGGGUGAGUAACGCGUGGGGAAUCUGCCUUUGAGCGGGGGACAACAUUUGGAAACGAAUGCUAAUACCGCAUAAAAACUUUAAACACAAGUUUUAAGUUUGAAAGAUGCAAUUGCAUCACUCAAAGAUGAUCCCGCGUUGUAUUAGCUAGUUGGUGAGGUAAAGGCUCACCAAGGCGAUGAUACAUAGCCGACCUGAGAGGGUGAUCGGCCACAUUGGGACUGAGACACGGCCCAAACUCCUACGGGAGGCAGCAGGAGGGAAUCUUCGGCAAUGGACGAAAGUCUGACCGAGCAACGCCGCGGGAGUGAAGAAGGGUUUCGGAUCGUAAAACUCUGUUGGUAGAGAAGAACGUUGGUGAGAGUGGAAAGCUCAUCAAGUGACGGUAACUACCCAGAAAGGGACGGCUAACUACGUG